CAUGUGGUUUAAUUCGAUGCAACGCGAAGAACCUUACCUACUCUUGACAUCCAGCGAAUCCUUUAGAGAUAGAGGAGUGCCUUCGGGAACGCUGAGACAGGUGCUGCAUGGCUGUCGUCAGCUCGUGUUGUGAAAUGUUGGGUUAAGUCCCGCAACGAGCGCAACCCUUAUCCUUUGUUGCCAGCACGUAAUGGUGGGAACUCAAAGGAGACUGCCGGUGAUAAACCGGAGGAAGGUGGGGAUGACGUCAAGUCAUCAUGGCCCUUACGAGUAGGGCUACACACGUGCUACAAUGGCAGAUACAAAGAGAAGCGACCUCGCGAGAGCAAGCGGAACUCAUAAAGUCUGUCGUAGUCCGGAUUGGAGUCUGCAACUCGACUCCAUGAAGUCGGAAUCGCUAGUAAUCGUAGAUCAGAAUGCUACGGUGAAUACGUUCCCGGGCCUUGUACACACCGCCCGUA
RNAcentral lists this ribosomal RNA (461 nucleotides) under Proteus mirabilis. Its description in RNAcentral is "bacterial SSU rRNA". It matches the Rfam family "Bacterial small subunit ribosomal RNA", at positions 938 to 1398 of the family's 1533-position model. Lineage: Bacteria; Pseudomonadati; Pseudomonadota; Gammaproteobacteria; Enterobacterales; Morganellaceae. The record is from RNAcentral.